GGCUCAGGAUGAACGCUGGCGGCGUGCUUAACACAUGCAAGUCGAACGAUGAUCCCAGCUUGCUGGGGGAUUAGUGGCGAACGGGUGAGUAACACGUGAGUAACCUGCCCUUGACUCUGGGAUAAGCCUGGGAAACUGGGUCUAAUACCGGAUACGACCAUCUGGCGCAUGUCAUGGUGGUGGAAAGCUUUUGUGGUUUUGGAUGGACUCGCGGCCUAUCAGCUUGUUGGUGGGGUAAUGGCCUACCAAGGCGACGACGGGUAGCCGGCCUGAGAGGGUGACCGGCCACACUGGGACUGAGACACGGCCCAGACUCCUACGGGAGGCAGCAGUGGGGAAUAUUGCACAAUGGGCGCAAGCCUGAUGCAGCGACGCCGCGUGAGGGAUGACGGCCUUCGGGUUGUAAACCUCUUUCAGUAGGGAAGAAGCGAAAGUGACGGUACCUGCAGAAGAAGCGCCGGCUAACUACGUGCCAGCAGCCGCGGUAAUACGUAGGGCGCAAGCGUUAUCCGGAAUUAUUGGGCGUAAAGAGCUCGUAGGCGGUUUGUCGCGUCUGCUGUGAAAGACCGGGGCUCAACUCCGGUUCUGCAGUGGGUACGGGCAGACUAGAGUGCAGUAGGGGAGACUGGAAUUCCUGGUGUAGCGGUGAAAUGCGCAGAUAUCAGGAGGAACACCGAUGGCGAAGGCAGGUCUCUGGGCUGUAACUGACGCUGAGGAGCGAAAGCAUGGGGAGCGAACAGGAUUAGAUACCCUGGUAGUCCAUGCCGUAAACGUUGGGCACUAGGUGUGGGGGACAUUCCACGUUUUCCGCGCCGUAGCUAACGCAUUAAGUGCCCCGCCUGGGGAGUG
Molecule: ribosomal RNA, 849 nt
Filed under: Paenarthrobacter aurescens
Lineage: Bacteria; Bacillati; Actinomycetota; Actinomycetes; Micrococcales; Micrococcaceae
Description: bacterial SSU rRNA
Rfam family: Bacterial small subunit ribosomal RNA
Source: RNAcentral